RNAcentral lists this ribosomal RNA (497 nucleotides) under uncultured bacterium. Its description in RNAcentral is "partial 16S ribosomal RNA". It matches the Rfam family "Bacterial small subunit ribosomal RNA", at positions 28 to 507 of the family's 1533-position model. The record is from RNAcentral.
GAUGAACGCUGGCGGCGUGCCUAAUACAUGCAAGUCGAGCGAACGGACGAGAAGUUUGCUUCUCUGAUGUUAGCGGCGGACGUGUGUGUAACAUGUGGAUAAUCUACCUAUAAGACUGGGAUAACUUCGGGAAACCGGAGCUAAUACCGGAUAAUAUUUUGAUCCGCAUGGUUCAAAAGUGAAAGACGGUCUUGCUGUCACUUAUAGAUGGAUCCGCGCUUCAUUAGCUAGUUGGUAAGGUAACGGCUUACCAAGGCAAUGAUGCAUAGCCGACCUGAGAGGAGGAUAGGCCACAUUGGAACUGAGACACGGUCCAUACUCCUACGGGAGGCAGCAGUAGGGAAUCGUAGGCAAUGGGCGAAAGCCUGACGGAGCAACGCCGCGUGUGUGAUGAAGGUCUUCGGAUCGUAAAGCUCUGUUAUUAGGUAAGAACAUAUGUGUAAGUAGCUGUGCACAGCGUGACGGUACCUAAUCAGAAAGCAACGGCUAACUACGUG